GACGAACGCUGGCGGCGUGCUUAACACAUGCAAGUCGAGCGAUGAAGCUUCUUCGGAAGUGGAUUAGCGGCGGACGGGUGAGUAACACGUGGGUAACCUGCCUCAUAGAGGGGAAUAGCCUUCCGAAAGGAAGAUUAACACCGCAUAAGAUUGUAAUAUCGCAUGAUAUAGCAAUUAAAGGAGCAAUCCGCUAUGAGAUGGACCCGCGUAGCAUUAGCUAGUUGGUGAGGUAACGGCUCACCAAGGCGACGAUGCGUAGCCGACCUGAGAGGGUGAUCGGCCACAUUGGGACUGAGACACGGCCCAGACUCCUACGGGAGGCAGCAGUGGGGAAUAUUGCACAAUGGGGGAAACCCUGAUGCAGCAACGCCGCGUGAGUGAUGACGGUCUUCGGAUUGUAAAGCUCUGUCUUUAGGGACGAUAAUGACGGUACCUAAGGAGGAAGCCACGGCUAACUACGUGCCAGCAGCCGCCGUAA
Molecule: ribosomal RNA, 478 nt
Filed under: uncultured bacterium
Lineage: Bacteria
Description: partial 16S ribosomal RNA
Rfam family: Bacterial small subunit ribosomal RNA
Source: RNAcentral